This 253-nucleotide ribosomal RNA is filed under the name uncultured bacterium. RNAcentral's name for it is "partial 16S ribosomal RNA". It matches the Rfam family "Bacterial small subunit ribosomal RNA", at positions 524 to 776 of the family's 1533-position model. The record is from RNAcentral.
CACGUAGGGCGCGAGCGUUGUCCGGAAUUAUUGGGCGUAGAGAGCUCGUAGGCGGCCUGUUGCGUCCGCUGUGAAAGCCCGGGGCUUAACCCCGGGUCUGCAGUGGAUACGGGCAGGCUAGAGGUAGGUAGGGGAGAAUGGAAUUCCCGGUGUAGCGGUGAAAUGCGCAGAUAUCGGGAGGAACACCGGUGGCGAAGGCGGUUCUCUGGGCCUUACCUGACGCUGAGGAGCGAAAGCGUGGGGAGCGAACAGG